CAAGAUCAAACUAAUAUAUGAAGAAGCAGAAUAACCUUAGUCCUUCUGUUAGAUAAAUAGUCCAUGUGCCCAGGAGGAAAAGAGUGAUAUACAGGUGACAGGAAGACAAAUAAAGACAUCAUGGAAGUAAAACCAGCAAACUCCAGAAUCUAGAACUCUAGAAAACAAGGCGAAUGCUUUCUUCAAUAAGUAAACUGACUUCACUGCCACAUUCAAGACUCUCCUAUCCCUCCUGCCUCUAGUCAUCAUUUUCAGGAGCUUCAACCUCUCUACAACCACUCCCCUAAACACCUGGCCUCAUAGGGCAAAGGAGCAUGAAGCUCGUUCCAUUUGUUAUACCAAGAGUAAUGAAGUCAUCUGUCUGUCUCUGUCCUCUGCUACCAUCUAUGAACAUGUGGCUGGCUAAUCUGUUAGCUUGCGAGAAAGUCAUUCUCUACCCAAAAGCACAAAGAAGACAUCCUUUUGAGAAGAUGAACAUGAACAUUCACUAAGAAUGAGUCCUCUACGCGAUCUCCUGUGUCUGGAAUUUUUAAACACCCUUCCCUUUGAACACCGGCUGCCUGGUUGUGUUGAACUGCAGGUGAACGCUAAUCAUGCUGGCUGGAGUUCUCAGUGUCUGUCUGCAUUUGUCACUGAACAAAAAUAAGUAAAAACAUUCUGGAGUUCUAAAAUCAAAGGUCCUUUCUAUCAUAUGGGCCAAGUUCCGAGACUGUUUCAAGACUCCUUGUGAACAAGACAAAAAGAAAAGUGGCAGCUCAGCUCAGAGCCCUUCCUUAAAAACAACUCUCCAGGGCGCCUGGGUGGCUCAGUGGGUUAAAACCUCUGCCUUCAGCUCAUGUCAU
Molecule: long non-coding RNA, 842 nt
Organism: Mustela lutreola (European mink)
Lineage: Eukaryota; Metazoa; Chordata; Mammalia; Carnivora; Mustelidae
Exons: 5
Source: RefSeq, a predicted model, not a curated record